UACGGAAGGCAGCAGUGGGGAAUAUUGCACAAUGGGCGCAAGCCUGAUGCAGCCAUGCCGCGUGUAUGAAGAAGGCCUUCGGGUUGUAAAGUACUUUCAGUCGUGAGGAAGGUGUUAAGGUUAAUAACCUUAGCAAUUGACGUUAGCGACAGAAGAAGCACCGGCUAACUCCGUGCCAGCAGCCGCGGUAAUACGGAGGGUGCGAGCGUUAAUCGGAAUUACUGGGCGUAAAGGGCACGCAGGCGGUUAAUUAAGUUGGAUGUGAAAUCCCCGGGCUUAACCUGGGAAUGGCAUUCAAGACUGGUUAGCUAGAGUCUUGUAGAGGGGGUAGAAUUCCAUGUGUAGCGGUGAAAUGCGUAGAGAUGUGGAGGAAUACCGGUGGCGAAGGUGGCCCCUGGACAAAGGCUGACGCUCAUGUGCGAAAGCGUGGGGAGCAAAC
RNAcentral lists this ribosomal RNA (439 nucleotides) under uncultured bacterium. Its description in RNAcentral is "bacterial SSU rRNA". It matches the Rfam family "Bacterial small subunit ribosomal RNA", at positions 340 to 773 of the family's 1533-position model. The record is from RNAcentral.